This 240-nucleotide ribosomal RNA is filed under the name uncultured Lactobacillus sp. RNAcentral describes it as "partial 16S ribosomal RNA". It matches the Rfam family "Bacterial small subunit ribosomal RNA", at positions 123 to 355 of the family's 1533-position model. Lineage: Bacteria; Bacillati; Bacillota; Bacilli; Lactobacillales; Lactobacillaceae. The record is from RNAcentral.
AACCUGCCCCAUAGUCUGGGAUACCACUUGGAAACAGGUGCUAAUACCGGAUAAGAAAGCGGAUCGCAUGAUCAGCUUUUAAAAGGCGGCGUAAGCUGUCGCUAUGGGAUGGCCCCGCGGUGCAUUAGCUAGUUGGUAAGGUAAAGGCUUACCAAGGCGAUGAUGCAUAGCCGAGUUGAGAGACUGAUCGGCCACAUUGGGACUGAGACACGGCCCAAACUCCUACGGGAGGCAGCAGUC